GACGAACGCUGGCGGCGUGCUUAACACAUGCAAGUCGAGCGACGCUCCUCCUUCGGGAGGAUGACGGAGCGGCGAACGGGUGAGUAACACGUGGGCAACCUGCCCCUAGCUCUGGGAUAAGCCCGGGAAACCGGGUCUAAUACCGGAUAUGAGGUCGGAAGGCAUCUUCUGAUCUGGAAAGUCUUUCGGCUAGGGAUGGGCCCGCGGCCUAUCAGCUUGUUGGUGAGGUAACGGCCCACCAAGGCGACGACGGGUAGCCGGCCUGAGAGGGCGACCGGCCACACUGGGACUGAGACACGGCCCAGACUCCUACGGGAGGCAGCAGUGGGGAAUAUUGCACAAUGGGCGAAAGCCUGAUGCAGCGACGCCGCGUGAGGGAUGACUGCCUUCGGGUUGUAAACCUCUUUCAGCAGGGACGAAGCGAAAGUGACGGUACCUGCAGAAGAAGCACCGGCCAACUACGUGCCAGCAGCCGCCGUAAUAC
RNAcentral lists this ribosomal RNA (484 nucleotides) under uncultured bacterium. RNAcentral describes it as "bacterial SSU rRNA". It matches the Rfam family "Bacterial small subunit ribosomal RNA", at positions 28 to 526 of the family's 1533-position model. The record is from RNAcentral.